UCACUUUAGGAUGAGCCCGCGGUGCAUUAGCUAGUUGGUGAGGUAACGGCUCACCAAGGCCAUGAUGCAUAGCCGAGUUGAGAGACUGAUCGGCCACAUUGGGACUGAGACACGGCCCAAACUCCUACGGGAGGCAGCAGUAGGGAAUCUUCCACAAUGGACGCAAGUCUGAUGGAGCAACGCCGCGUGAGUGAAGAAGGUUUUCGGAUCGUAAAGCUCUGUUGUUGGUGAAGAAGGAUAGAGGUAGCAACUGGCCUUUAUUUGACGGUAAUCAACCAGAAAGUCACGGCUAACUACGUGCCAGCAGCCGCGGUAAUACGUAGGUGGCAAGCGUUGUCCGGAUUUAUUGUGCGUAAAGCGAGCGCAUGCGGAAUGAUAAGUCUGAU
This 386-nucleotide ribosomal RNA is filed under the name Lactobacillus sp. UN_46. RNAcentral's name for it is "bacterial SSU rRNA". It matches the Rfam family "Bacterial small subunit ribosomal RNA", at positions 215 to 593 of the family's 1533-position model. The record is from RNAcentral. Lineage: Bacteria; Bacillati; Bacillota; Bacilli; Lactobacillales; Lactobacillaceae.